GCCGCGGGGGUGCUGCCGAGCCGCGGGGACGGGCCUGGGACUGGGCGUCCGCCUCCGCCGCGGCUGCCCGGCUCGCUGUGAGGAGCGGGCCUGCCAUCGCGCUCGUGCGCUCCCUUUCCUCUCGCUUCCCUUCCUCCCUAGUUUCAUUUAUUCUUUUUUAAGGUCACUGGAGCUGUUACUGCUUGUCAUCCAAGAACUUAAAGCAGUCGGAUGCUGAGGGCAGUUUGCCUGCUGGAGAGCCAGGGAAUUUGAGGCAAGUCUCCAGAGCUCCAGAAGAGACUUCUUCCUCAUCUGCACAGCAGAGUUACUCUGAAUGCAGUGGAUUUCAGUUUUAAACCAUUAAAUACUUCUCUUGGGACGUGCUUACUCCAGAAGAGAGGAUUAAAGCAAGAAAACAAGUGUCCAAACUGGAGUCUCAAGCUACAGCUUUCUUAUUUCUAAAUGUCUUGUGCCAUAGCAGUUUUAUUUCUAGUUAAAUAAACACUAAAAUCCUUUAGAAAUG
Rhea pennata is the source of this 502-nucleotide long non-coding RNA. RefSeq lists it as uncharacterized. The transcript is spliced from 2 exons. NCBI's taxonomy places the organism in Eukaryota, Metazoa, Chordata, Aves, Rheiformes, Rheidae. The record is from RefSeq and is a predicted model, not a curated record.